This 348-nucleotide long non-coding RNA is filed under the name Carica papaya (papaya). Its description in RNAcentral is "long non-coding RNA (CPAP_LNC012601)". The record is from RNAcentral. Lineage: Eukaryota; Viridiplantae; Streptophyta; Magnoliopsida; Brassicales; Caricaceae.
CUUUGAGUAUAAACUAAGCAAACCCCUCUCCUGCAAAUUCCCUCAAUCUUUACACAUAAUACAUAUAUAUAUAUAUAUAUAUACAUACAUACAAUGGAUUACCAACUUCAUCUUCUCCAUCUCUCUGCAAAAAUCUCUCACCUUCAUUUAUCUUGAUCAAUAUAUGUUGAUUGACAAAUUCGUCAUUCUAUAAUGAGCAACAUACCAAGAUCUCUCACAGACUCAUCCCUAACCCUCUUCAAUCUCACCAUUUCUUCUUCCGAUCCCUGGCCUUUUUCUCUCCUCUAAUUAAUUACGCCUCCAGAAAAUCUGUUCAAAAACUUUCUCGCGUUUUCUCGGUUUUCGUUU